CGCUGGGCACUCGUGUAUCGUGACCAGGCGAUUUCGCUCGUCAAACUUUCCUCUGGGAAAUACGCGAGAUUUUUUUUCAUAAAUUCGUGAUUUUCUCUUGUGAAUUUUUAAAAAUAAAUUAAUGAAAUUAUUUUUUGUUGUGGUGAUGUGAAUUUGACUGGUGUUUAUUUGUAAUUAAUGAGUUUAAUUAAGGUGAUGAGAGGAACGCAGUUUUUGCCGAUCUAGCCCCAGGGACUCCAAUGAGGCGUUUCCUGGCAUAGAUAACCUGCUCAGCGGGUAGGAUGCGGCGGCAUGCACCGCAUCGUGCUACUAAUGGCGGUGCUUGCCAAGGCUGUUUCGCCACAGACCAGUGCCAUAGUUCCAAGCACUGAACCAAGCAUCUCCACCACCAUGGCGCCCCCACCGACGGUGUUUCGCAACCCUCGGCCUGUC
Ostrinia nubilalis (European corn borer) is the source of this 432-nucleotide long non-coding RNA. RefSeq lists it as uncharacterized. NCBI's taxonomy places the organism in Eukaryota, Metazoa, Arthropoda, Insecta, Lepidoptera, Crambidae. The record is from RefSeq and is a predicted model, not a curated record. The transcript is spliced from 3 exons.